RNAcentral lists this ribosomal RNA (497 nucleotides) under uncultured bacterium. Its description in RNAcentral is "partial 16S ribosomal RNA". It matches the Rfam family "Bacterial small subunit ribosomal RNA", at positions 28 to 507 of the family's 1533-position model. The record is from RNAcentral.
GAUGAACGCUGGCGGCGUGCCUAAUACAUGCAAGUCGAGCGAACAGACGAGGAGCUUGCUCCUCUGACGUUAGCGGCGGACGGGUGAGUAACACGUGGAUAACCUACCUAUAAGACUGGGAUAACUUCGGGAAACCGGAGCUAAUACCGGAUAAUAUAUUGAACCGCAUGGUUCAAUAGUGAAAGACGGUUUUGCUGUCACUUAUAGAUGGAUCCGCGCCGCAUUAGCUAGUUGGUAAGGUAACGGCUUACCAAGGCAACGAUGCGUAGCCGACCUGAGAGGGUGUUCGGCCACACUGGAACUGAGACACGGUCCAGACUCCUACGGGAGGCCGCAGUAGGGAAUCUUCCGCAAUGUGCGAAAGCUUGACGGAGCAACGCCGCGUGAGUGAUGAAGGUCUUCGGAUCGUAAAACUCUGUUAUUAUUGAAGAACAAAUGUGUAAGUAACUAUGCACGUCUUGACGGUACCUAAUCAGAAAGCCACGGCUAACUACGUG